GACGAACGCUGGCGGCGUGCUUAACACAUGCAAGUCGAACGGAAAGGCCCUGCUUGCAGGGUGCUCGAGUGGCGAACGGGUGAGUAACACGUGGGUGAUCUGCCCCUUACUUUGGGAUAAGCCUGGGAAACUGGGUCUAAUACUGGAUAGGACCAUGCUGUAGGUGGUGUGGUGGAAAGAUUAGUUUCGGUAAGGGAUGAGCUCGCGGCCUAUCAGCUUGUUGGUGGGGUAAUGGCCUACCAAGGCGUCGACGGGUAGCCGGCCUGAGAGGGUGGACGGCAACGUUGGGACUGAGAUACGGCCCAGACUCCUACGAGAGGCAGCAGUGGGGAAUAUUGCACAAUGGGCGCACGCCUGAUGCAGCGAAGCCGCGUGGAGGAUGACGGCCUGCGGUUUGUAAACUCCUUUCAGCCAUGACGAAGCCCAUGUGGUGACGGUAGUGGUAGAAAAAGCACCGGCUAACUACGUG
RNAcentral lists this ribosomal RNA (469 nucleotides) under uncultured bacterium. RNAcentral describes it as "partial 16S ribosomal RNA". It matches the Rfam family "Bacterial small subunit ribosomal RNA", at positions 28 to 507 of the family's 1533-position model. The record is from RNAcentral.